CUGUUGCGGAUGCUGCUGCUGCUGUUGCUGGAAAGAAGGCACCACCAGUUUAAUCAACUGUUGCUGGAAUUGGACAGCUUGAUCACAGCAGCAGCAGCGGCAGCAGCGGUUUCAGCUCCAUCCAAUAUAAAAGCUUCCUGCGUAGAAGAGACAAUGAGCGUCCUCCAGCCCGAUUCUGGUGUCUCGGGCAAAAAGGAGAAAGAGAGAGGCAGGAGGAAGAAGAAGAAGGAGGCGUAAGUACCCGAGUACUGAGCUCCACGCUAAGGCUUUCAGCUUUCAGGUAGUUAAGCUCUCUAUUCUAUGGCCUCCUGUGCAUGACUACAACUUCUGGGCCUUAAGCUGGCUACUGGAACUUUGUGUGCAGGUGCAGGAUCCUACUGACAGUGAGUGUGAUUCACAAGGUACUUGCAAACGGGCAACAGACCACAUCUUAAGUGGCUUCUCUCCGCAUUCCCCUGGCACAGUAUCAGAGAAAGGAUGGACUUGUGUUGUGAGGGGUUGCAGCGGACUCCCCGCGGAAAGGAGUUGUGUGCUCACAGCUCUAAUAGGGAGAUGGAGACCCGACAUAUAUAUCGUGUAUAUAUACCAAGGAGAGACUGUCACUCACAGCAGAUGAUAUCGUUUGAAAGUAGCGGGAUGCACAAGCAAUACUAAUCGCAGCAGCUAUGAUACUCCGGCAGGAAUAGUACAGCGCCGCAGCGAGCGGUGGGGCGGAGCUUGACAGAUCUUGCGUGCCAGCCACCUUCGCCAACUUGAAACUGCUGGAGCUCUCGACACGCACAUUGUCAAGUGAUCAGGAGGUGGAUGUGGAUGGACACACAGGCAGCGCAGGUGAGAAGAACGAGGUCGUUUCCAUUUUGGGUGAGCCGGCAAGGACUUCUCGUACUACUUCUCUCCACCGUGCGAUCGCUUCGACAUUCCCAAGGGAUCCAGUAGCUGUGAUAAUUCGUGGACAAAGAGCAGGAGCGGUGGGCGAGAUUGGAGAUGGCACGCCGAGAAAACUCCAAAAGAGGCCGGCAACCGGCUGGAAGCAAGAGCAAGGCGACACCUCCCGCUGGCGAAAUGCUGGCCGGAGGAUCUCUCGCAAACAACAACUUGGAUUUGCCCGAGUGACAAACAAGCUUCCAUGGCAACAAAGACUCUGCGAAGGACCGAGUGAGGAAAACACUGGCGUGAUCGCGAAUAAUUUCGCGCGUAGUUUAGCAUUUGGACUGCGAAUCCGAGGACUAAAGCCGCAUUAUCUUCGUCCCAGC
RNA transcript from Selaginella moellendorffii, 1253 nucleotides. RefSeq lists it as uncharacterized. The record is from RefSeq and is a predicted model, not a curated record. Lineage: Eukaryota; Viridiplantae; Streptophyta; Lycopodiopsida; Selaginellales; Selaginellaceae. The transcript has 8 exons.